This 253-nucleotide ribosomal RNA is filed under the name uncultured bacterium. RNAcentral's name for it is "partial 16S ribosomal RNA". It matches the Rfam family "Bacterial small subunit ribosomal RNA", at positions 524 to 776 of the family's 1533-position model. The record is from RNAcentral.
UACGGAGGGGGCAAGCGUUAUCCGGAAUCACUGGGUUUAAAGGGUGCGUAGGCGGCGCAAUAAGUCAGAGGUGAAAGCCUGCAGCUCAACUGUAGAAUUGCCUUUGAUACUGCUGCGCUUGAAUCAGGUUGAGGUUGGCGGAAUGUGGCAUGUAGCGGUGAAAUGCAUAGAGAUGCCAGAGAACACCAAUUGCGAAGGCAGCUGACUGGGCCUGAAUUGACGCUGAGGCACGAAAGCGUGGGGAGCAAACAGG